UUCCUCCGAGGCCCUGCAUGGGGCACAUCCUGCCUCCUGUGUCUAAGGAUCCAUGAGUGUAAAGACACCUUCCUUCGCGACAAUCAUUUCUGUCUGUGUCCUACUGAGUAAAAAACUCCCAGUCUGGCACCUCCAGAGAAACAGAACAUACAUAUACAUACGAAGAUAUUCGUUAGAAGAAAUCGGCGGCAGCACUUAGGGGGCUGAGAACUGCCACGGUCUCCCAUCUACAAGCGGGAGACCAGGAAAGCUCCUGCUGUCGUUUCAGUCUGAGCCUGAAGACAGGAGGCAAAAGGAGUGAAUUCCUCCCCUCCCCCACCCCUUGGUUCGGUCCAGACCCACGGCUGAUGGGGCGAGGCCCACCCACAUGGGGAAGAGCCAUCCACUUCUCUGAUCCGCCACUUCAGAUGCCAAUCUCAUCGGGAAGGAAACACCUGCACAGACACAGACGGACAUGAACCAUCAGAGUAUAUUUCACCAAGAUUAAAAAAAUG
Long non-coding RNA from Hyaena hyaena (striped hyena), 494 nucleotides. RefSeq lists it as uncharacterized. NCBI's taxonomy places the organism in Eukaryota, Metazoa, Chordata, Mammalia, Carnivora, Hyaenidae. The record is from RefSeq and is a predicted model, not a curated record. The transcript has 2 exons.